This 495-nucleotide ribosomal RNA is filed under the name uncultured bacterium. Its description in RNAcentral is "partial 16S ribosomal RNA". It matches the Rfam family "Bacterial small subunit ribosomal RNA", at positions 28 to 505 of the family's 1533-position model. The record is from RNAcentral.
GAUGAACGCUGGCGGCGUGCCUAAUACAUGCAAGUCGAGCGAACAGACGAGGAGCUUGCUCCUCUGACGUUAGCGGCGGACGGGUGAGUAACACGUGGAUAACCUACCUAUAAGACUGGGAUAACUUCGGGAAACCGGAGCUAAUACCGGAUAAUAUAUUGAACCGCAUGGUUCAAUAGUGAAAGACGGUUUUGCUGUCACUUAUAGAUGGAUCCGCGCCGCAUUAGCUAGUUGGUAAGGUAACGGCUUACCAAGGCAACGAUGCGUAGCCGACCUGAGAGGGUGAGCGGCCACACUGGAACGGAGACACGGUCCAGACUCCUACGGGAGGCAGCAGUAGGGAAUCUGCCGCAAUGGGCGAAAGCCUGACGGAGCAACGCCGCGUGAGUGAUGAAGGUCUUCGGAUCGUAAAACUCUGUUAUUAGGGAAGAACAAAUGUGUAAGUAACUAUGCACGUCUUGACGGUACCUAAUUAGAAAGCCACGGCUAACUACG